UACCUACAAAAGCCCCCUGACAUAGCACUCUUGUCAUACUGAGACUAAGGUAGAAAAAGACACUUCCAAAGGGUGUCAAUGACAAGAGAGAAAUAGACAUAGAGUGGUCACUUCAUUUACCAACCCUGGAACCGCAGACCUCUGGGCUUCCUGAUAAAGAAAAUGGGUACGGCCAAGACCAUAGACCUAGUGAUUGUCAGAUGAACAAUUAGACCCACAGAACCAUCCAAGCUACAGAGGACGCAUUCUGCCUUCCCUUGGAUCCUGUGGUUUGAGGAUGGAGGUCUAGGACCGUGGCAGGCUUUUUGUCCCAUGAGGGAAGGCCAUGGAGCUGAGGAAGGGGAAGAACACACACACCUAAUGGAAUCUCGAGAGAAAGUUCAGACAUCAAAAGACAGAAGCGACAGAGACCCAGAUGGAGUCUCACCCAGCCUGGAGUACAGUAGUAUGAUCUGCAACCUUUGCCUCCCAGGUUCAGGCGAUUCUCCUGUCUCAGCCUCCGGAGUAUCUGGGAUUACAGGCACGUGCCACCACGCCCGGCUAAUUUUUUGUAUUUUUAGUAGAGAUGGGUUUCACCGUGUUAGCCAGGAUGGUCUCGAACUCCUGACCUCGUGAUCUACCCGCCUUGGCCUCCCAAAGUGCUGGGAUUACAGGCAUGAGCUACCGUGCUCGGCCAUGCCUGGCUAAUUUAUAUAUACAUAUAUAUAUAUAUAUAUAUUUUUUUUUUUUUUUUUUUUUUUUUGAGACAGAGUCUUGCUCUGUCACCCAGGUUGGAGUGCAGUGGCAUGAUCUCGGCUCACUGCAAGCUCGCCUCCCAGGUUCACGCCAUUCUCCUGCCUCAGCCUCCUGAGUAGCUGGGACUACAGGCGCCCGCAUGACGCCCGGCUAAUUUUUUGUAUUUUUAGUAGAGACGGGGUUUCACUGUGUUAGCCAGGAUGGUCUCGAUCUCCUGACCUCGUGAUCUGCCCACCUCAGCCUCCGAAAGUGCUGGGAUUACAGACAUGAGCCACCGCACCCAGCCUUAUAUAUAUAUUUUUUAUUAGUGAAGAGGUUUCGCCAUAUUGGCCAGACUGGUCUCGAACUCCUGACCUCAGGUGAUCCACCCACCUCGGCCUCCCAAAGUGCUGGGAUUACAGGUGGGAGCCACCGCACCCUGCCUAAAAUGCAAAAGAUUUUGAAUGGCGAGAAUGGCGACAUGAUGCCACAAGUGGAAAAUUCCACACCUGGCUGCAUGUAAUGGGUUGAAGUCAAAAUGCAGUCAAAAACUUUGUUUCAUGUACAAAAUUAUUAAAAACAUUGUAUAAAAUCACCUUCAGACUAUGUGUAUGUGAAACCUAAGUGAAUUUAAUGGCUAGACUUCAG
This 1362-nucleotide long non-coding RNA is filed under the name Homo sapiens (human). RNAcentral's name for it is "PREDICTED lncRNA (TCONS_00075108)". Lineage: Eukaryota; Metazoa; Chordata; Mammalia; Primates; Hominidae. The record is from RNAcentral.